GACGAACGCUGGCGGCGUGCUUAACACAUGCAAGUCGAACGGAAAGGCCCUGCUUUUGUGGGGUGCUCGAGUGGCGAACGGGUGAGUAACACGUGAGUAACCUGCCCUUGACUUUGGGAUAACUUCAGGAAACUGGGGCUAAUACCGGAUAGGAGCUCCUGCUGCAUGGUGGGGGUUGGAAAGUUUCGGCGGUUGGGGAUGGACUCGCGGCUUAUCAGCUUGUUGGUGGGGUAUUGGCUUACCAAGGCUUUGGCGGGUAGCCGGCCUGAGAGGGUGACCGGCCACAUUGGGACUGAGAUACGGCCCAGACUCCUACGGGAGGCAGCAGUGGGGAAUAUUGCACAAUGGGCGGAAGCCUGAUGCAGCAACGCCGCGUGCGGGAUGACGGCCUUCGGGUUGUAAACCGCUUUCGCCUGUGACGAAGCGUGAGUGACGGUAAUGGGUAAAGAAGCACCGGCUAACUACGUG
Molecule: ribosomal RNA, 468 nt
Filed under: uncultured bacterium
Lineage: Bacteria
Description: partial 16S ribosomal RNA
Rfam family: Bacterial small subunit ribosomal RNA
Source: RNAcentral